RNAcentral lists this ribosomal RNA (918 nucleotides) under uncultured archaeon. RNAcentral describes it as "bacterial SSU rRNA". It matches the Rfam family "Archaeal small subunit ribosomal RNA", at positions 1 to 922 of the family's 1478-position model. The record is from RNAcentral.
UUCCGGUUGAUCCUGCCGGAGGCUAUUGCUAUCGGGGUCCGAUUUAGCCAUGCUAGUCGCACGGGUUCAGACCCGUGGCGAACAGCUCAGUAACACGUGGCCAAACUACCCUACGGACUGGAUAACCUCGGGAAACUGAGGCCAAUCCCGGAUAGCGUUUCCAUGCUGGAAUGCAGGAACCGUGAAACGCUCCGGCGCCGUAGGAUGUGGCUGCGGCCGAUUAGGUAGACGGUGGGGUAACGGCCCACCGUGCCGAUAAUCGGUACGGGUGGUGAGAGCCAGAGCCCGGAGAUGGAUUCUGAGACAAGAAUCCAGGCCCUACGGGGCGCAGCAGGCGCGAAACCUUUACACUGCACGAAAGUGCGAUAAGGGGACUCCGAGUGCGAGGGCAUACAGUCCUCGCUUUUGUGUACCGUAAGGUGGUACACGAAUAAGGGCUGGGCAAGACCGGUGCCAGCCGCCGCGGUAAUACCGGCAGCUCAAGUGAUGGCCAAUAUUAUUGGGCCUAAAGCGUCCGUAGCCGGCCGAACAAGUCCGUCGGGAAAUCCAUCGGCUCAACCGAUGGGCGACCGGCGGAAACUGUUCGGCUUGGGGCCGGAAGAUCCGAGGGGUACGUCCGGGGUAGGAGUGAAAUCCCGUAAUCCUGGACGGACCACCGGUGGCGAAAGCGCCUCGGAAGGACGGACCCGACGGUGAGGGACGAAAGCUAGGGUCUCGAACCGGAUUAGAUACCCGGGUAGUCCUAGCCGUAAACGAUGCUCGCUAGGUGUGACGCAGGCUACGAGCCUGCGUUGUGCCGUAGGGAAGCCGUGAAGCGAGCCGCCUGGGAAGUACGUCCGCAAGGAUGAAACUUAAAGGAAUUGGCGGGGGAGCACUACAACCGGAGGAGCCUGCGGUUCAAUUGGACUCAACGCCGGU